UUGGAAGUAAAAAGUCGUAACAAGGUUUCCGUAGGUGAACCUGCGGAAGGAUCAUUAUUGAAUUAAUGUAGAGUUUGGUUGUAGCUGGCUCCUAAUUAAACUUGGGGGCAUGUGCACACCUUUCUCUUUCAUCCCAUACACACCUGUGCACCUGUGAGACAGAUGUUUUGUGGGGGGGAAGGAACUUUAUUGGACCUUCUACUCCCCCUUGACUUCUGUCUACUUAAUUCAUAUAAACUCAAUUUAUUUUAAAACGGAUGUAAUGGAUGUAACACAUCUAAUACUAAGUUUCAACAACGGAUCUCUUGGCUCUCGCAUCGAUGAAGAACGCAGCGAAAUGCGAUAAGUAAUGUGAAUUGCAGAAUUCAGUGAAUCAUCGAAUCUUUGAACGCACCUUGCGCUCCUUGGUAUUCCUUGGAGCAUGCCUGUUUGAGUAUCAUGAAAUCUUCAAAGUCAAACCUUUUGUUAAUUCAAUUGGUUCUGCUUUGGUAUUGGAGGAUUAUUGCAGCUUCACACCUGCUCCUCUUUGUGCAUUAGCUGGAUCUCAGUGUUAUGCUUGGUUCCACUCAGCGUGAUAAGUUAUCUAUCGCUGAGGACACCCUGUUAAAAAGGGGUGGCCAAGGUAAAUGCAGAUGAACCGCUUCUAAUAGUCCAUUGACUUGGACAAUAUCUAAUUUAUGAUCUGAUCUCAAAUC
This 695-nucleotide ribosomal RNA is filed under the name Rhizoctonia solani. Its description in RNAcentral is "eukaryotic LSU rRNA". The stretch from base 286 to 439 matches the Rfam family "5.8S ribosomal RNA". The record is from RNAcentral. Lineage: Eukaryota; Fungi; Basidiomycota; Agaricomycetes; Cantharellales; Ceratobasidiaceae.